RNAcentral lists this long non-coding RNA (255 nucleotides) under Homo sapiens (human). RNAcentral's name for it is "HSALNT0336903". The record is from RNAcentral. Lineage: Eukaryota; Metazoa; Chordata; Mammalia; Primates; Hominidae.
UUCAAGCGAUUCUCCUGCCUCAGCCUCCAGAGUAGCUGGGAUUACAGCCAGCAAUAGAACAUCAGAUAGCCAAUAUGAUGCUUUAAUUACUAGCAAUUUGGUACCUAUGUAUGAAGAAUUCAGAAAAAUGUGGGACUACUUCCACAGUGUUCUUCUUAUAAAACAUGCCACAGAAAGAAAUGGAGUAAAUGUGGUUAGUGGACCAAUAUUUGAUUAUAAUUAUGAUGGCCAUUUUGAUGCUCCAGAUGAAAUUAC